GUCUCACACUCUGCUGGUAUUGAUGGAUGGUAUAGGUCUCACACUCUGCUGGUAUUGAUCGCUGGUAUAGGUCUCACACUGCUGGUAUUGAUGGAUGGUAUAGGUCACACCCUCUGCUGGUAUUGAUGGAUGGUAUAGGUCUCACUCUGCUGGUAUUGAUGGAUGGUAUAGGUCUCACUCUCUGCUGGUAUUGAUGGAUGGUAUAGGUCUCACUCUCUGCUGGUAUUGAUGGAUGGUAUAGGUCUCACUCUGAUGGUAAUGAUGGCUGGUAUAGGUCUCACACUGCUGGUAAUGAUGGCAGGUAUAGGUCUCACUCUGCUGGUAAUGAUGGCUGGUAUAGGUCUCACACUCUGCUGGUAUUGAUGGAUGGUAUAGGUCUCACUCUGCUGGUAUUGAUGGAUAGUGUAGGUCUCACUCUGCUGGUAAUGAUGGCUGGUAUAGGUCACACUCUGCUGGUAUUGAUGGAUGGUAUAGGUCUCACACUGCUGGUAAUGAUGGAUGGUAUAGGUCACACUCU
Molecule: long non-coding RNA, 517 nt
Filed under: Salmo salar (Atlantic salmon)
Lineage: Eukaryota; Metazoa; Chordata; Actinopteri; Salmoniformes; Salmonidae
Description: lncRNA (ENSSSAG00000098160.1)
Source: RNAcentral